Molecule: long non-coding RNA, 1479 nt
Organism: Triticum aestivum (bread wheat)
Lineage: Eukaryota; Viridiplantae; Streptophyta; Magnoliopsida; Poales; Poaceae
Exons: 3
Source: RefSeq, a predicted model, not a curated record
CCUGAUUGUUUUUACCUUCCCAUCGAUCGAGCUCCGCCGCCACGUACCUUUCUCUUUACUGCGAGCCUACUUCUUUCUGCUCGUGCACGUCCCUACCGGAUCUGCUGCCUACUGCGAAGCCUCCCUGAGCGCGCGACGGAGGUGACCGAGAAGAGGAGGAAGCGUCGAGGAAAGAGAUGGUCUCCCUCCCGGCAGGGACCCUGGUCGGGAGCGUUUCACCGGCACGGUCUUCGUCGGUUGGGUCAUGUUCCCGGAGCUAUCCAAGGUAUUCCACCACUGCUUUGCCUUGUUUCCAAAAAAAUAUUCCACCACUGCUCCUCCCUCACGCCUUGUUCCCCUCAUGCUCUCUUGGAUGAUUUGAAUUUGAGGUCUGAUUAAUUUGUGAGUAGUCGAUUGGAAGGUCUGAUUAACACUUGAGAAGCCCUAAAACAUCAGAUUACUGCGUUAGCUCAUGCCCACUGGCCACUAAGUAUAUCUCUGCUCCUCUAUUGUGUCUGUUCGCAUGGUUUACUCAACACACGAUCGACGGCGGCAAAGCACUGCAAAAACUAUUUGAUGGCAACGCGACAGCCUGCAAUAGUUGUGUCUGGUACCUGCUCUUCAUGGCCAUCAUUCCCUCAACAACUCGGCACAUAGCUAAUUUUACACACAAGAUUAGGAAUUUCCUUGCUUAUUUUAAUUCCGUUCGAGAUCAUGGCAUUGAUGUUGAAUUAUAUUGGACUAUCUCUCAGAUUCCCCGUAAGUGUUUACACGGGCGGCCAUACACUAGGGUUAUAUCACUUGAAUGCUGGGAAAUAUAUUAAGAACAGGCUUGCAUAUGGAGAUGUGAGUUGCACUCAAUCUAGCCACGAAGGAUUUAAUUCACCUGGGAAGUGUCAAUUAGGAGAAACUGUUUAGGAAACAUGUCAUUUUCCAUCUCAGCAGGGUGCUUGCUUUCUUUAAUGAAGAGGUAAAGUCUUCUUAUUGUACUUUUCUGUUCAUAUUUUUGACCUGUUCAGAGUUGUAUUGACAGACAUGCUAAUCUCCAGGGAGUGGACAUGUAGGAACAAAGAAGUGAACUUGCCUUCUGAAAGUUAAUUAACUGCCGUGUUGCCACCUCCAUUCAGUUCUCAUGUUUGCCUGCAUUUUCAUUGUGGGUACAGAACCAAGAUUGUAUUUCUCGAUGUGAUGCCAAGCGAUCUCAACAAAAUGUGAUAAAACCUGACAAGCUAGCCUCAAGCACACGAUUAUUAUUUUUCCCGUGUAUCCAGGUCCACCCUCCGUGAAGCACACAUUUCUACAUCGUCAUCUUGCAUGCGUGUGCAGUCAGAGAUACGACGGCCUGAUUGACUUCUAAGUUUCAGGCAUUUUGGAAGAAGGCUUCUUGAUGCUCUAACAGGAAGUUAUGCUUUUUAAAGAGCGAAAAGAUCAUCAGGAAGGCUGCUGUAUUUUAAUCCAGAAAACAACAUGCCAUGCAAGGUGAAAUCAUCACCCCCAAUG